Molecule: long non-coding RNA, 825 nt
Organism: Anopheles arabiensis
Lineage: Eukaryota; Metazoa; Arthropoda; Insecta; Diptera; Culicidae
Exons: 3
Source: RefSeq, a predicted model, not a curated record
AUUACUCUAAGGAAAUUGCACAUCCGUGCGUAGACCUAUCGGUUUACUACCACGAUUCCUCCCUUAGGCCAACAAUUCCUAGGAAUUGUUACACGCCACUACAACUAUAUCGCCUAUUUCUGUCGGCCGCACCGGUUCGGACCGCUCGGUUCUGUGGUGAAGUGUAGAAACCCAUCACGCUUGAACGCCUUUUUGUUGUAGGGCAAAUUGACGCUGUCGUACCGCCACAAAGGUCCCAUUUCGUAUCGCUGUCCGUUCGUUUCCCGCUCCAAUAUUGCCAACGCUCUUUCGUCGUCCCUAGGCCGCAACGGCCGCACUGCUUUGUCGGACUUGGAGUUACAAGAGAGGUUGUGAAACGGGCGGCCCGAGAAGGACCGGUUUGAAGGACUCGGCUUUGCACUCGCAACCGAGCAAGGCCCAUAGACAACCCAUCCAAGGCGGGUUUUCGAAGCGACCGGUUCGUUGCAGCUUGCAUCCACGGUCUUCAGAGUUCGCGUUAUGUUGCAGUUGUCUAUGCCUAUGAGGAUGCGAGGCACGGCGUAAGCGUAGGAUUCGAACUGGAGACCUCUCAGAUGAGUAUAGCGUGCAGUCAGUUGUGCUACGUUUACAGAUUGUUCCGGAAGGGCAAGCUCUUUGACCGUGUGUACUUCUGAUAGUUUGUAUAUCGCAUGCGACAUGUUUCUACCCGAUAUGCGCACCGAUAGCCUUACGGAGUCUUGUUCUGCUCUUGUCACGUCUCCCGUCCAUUGUAGACACAAGGGGUACGGUGUCCCUGUAACUCCAAGCUCCUGUGCUAGUUCGUGCUCCAUAAACGUGGAAGUAGAG